GACAGAGGGUGCAAGCGUUGUUCGGAAUUAUUGGGCGUAAAGGGCGCGUAGGCGGCUAUAUAAGUCAUUUGUGAAAGCCCGGGGCUUAACCCCGGAAGUGCAAGUGAUACUGUGUAGCUUGAGUCUCGGAGAGGGUGGUGGAAUUCCCAGUGUAGAGGUGAAAUUCGUAGAUAUUGGGAGGAACACCGGUGGCGAAGGCGACCACCUGGACGAAGACUGACGCUGAGGCGCGAAAGCGUGGGGAGCAAACAGG
RNAcentral lists this ribosomal RNA (253 nucleotides) under uncultured bacterium. Its description in RNAcentral is "partial 16S ribosomal RNA". It matches the Rfam family "Bacterial small subunit ribosomal RNA", at positions 524 to 776 of the family's 1533-position model. The record is from RNAcentral.